RNAcentral lists this ribosomal RNA (506 nucleotides) under uncultured bacterium. RNAcentral describes it as "partial 16S ribosomal RNA". It matches the Rfam family "Bacterial small subunit ribosomal RNA", at positions 29 to 523 of the family's 1533-position model. The record is from RNAcentral.
AGUGAACGCUGGCGGUAGGCCUAACACAUGCAAGUCGAACGGCAGCACAGGAGAGCUUGCUCUCUGGGUGGCGAGUGGCGGACGGGUGAGGAAUACAUCGGAAUCUACUCUGUCGUGGGGGAUAACGUAGGGAAACUUACGCUAAUACCGCAUACGACCUACGGGUGAAAGCAGGGGAUCUUCGGACCUUGCGCGAUUGAAUGAGCCGAUGUGGGAUUAGCUAGUUGGCGGGGUAAAGGCCCACCAAGGCGACGAUCCGUAGCUGUUCUGAGAGGAUGAUCAGCUAGACUGGAACUGAGACACGGUCCAGACUCCUACGGGAGGCAGCAGUGGGGAAUAUUGGACAAUGGGCGCAAGCCUGAUCCAGCCAUACCGCGUGGGUGAAGAAGGCCUUCGGGUUGUAAAGCCCUUUUGUUGGGAAAGAAAUCCAGCUGGCUAAUACCCGGUUGGGAUGACGGUACCCAAAGAAUAAGCACCGGCUAACUUCGUGCCAGCAGCCGCAGUAA